Long non-coding RNA from Ornithorhynchus anatinus (platypus), 692 nucleotides. RefSeq lists it as uncharacterized. The transcript is spliced from 4 exons. Lineage: Eukaryota; Metazoa; Chordata; Mammalia; Monotremata; Ornithorhynchidae. The record is from RefSeq and is a predicted model, not a curated record.
AAAUGCGGCAAAGAAACCAACCCGAAGGGAAACUAAACUGAAAGUCCCUUCCGCCUACGUUUGCAAGAAGGCGAAGCCGGCCUCGGGACAAUGCUCUGCACAUAGCAGGGGCUCAAUCACCACCAUCAGGUUGCAGGUGGACGACGCAAUGGAGAUGCUGAUGCCCUCAGAGUCUCUCCCGGAGGUUCAGGACCGACAAGGUGGACAAAGCAACUGAUUAUAGUUCUAAUGGCUUGCCCCUGGCCCUCUCCUUCCAUCCCUGUCGGGAUUGCGCCUUUUGAGGCUCAGACUGCAAGGUCCAGUUUAUUUCCCGUGGAUAAUGGACGGCAGGUUGAGUGCGUGGGAACAACGCACAGGUCUAAGGGCAGCGUGGAGCUCCAAGGAGCUGGACCUCAUUUUCCCUUUUUCCAAGCUUCCCCCUUCCAUGAUCGAGUGGUGGUCAUUUUCACCGGUGGACAGCUCAUCCCGUAAGGCCUCCGAGCGGAAGAUCUCAGAAAACCGACGGAGGUCGCUGCUGCUCUUUCUACCAAACCUUCAACCUUUCAAAACAAAAAAAAGUUAAGGCUUGGGUGUCGGGGGCUGGAAGGGAGGGAAGGAGGAAUUUUGACAUCGUCACGACUCCGAUUCGCCCGACCAAAUACUGUAUUCCCAAACUGGAACUCUUCAACAAGGCAUCGGCAAACAGCCCCGCA